CAGGUGUGGUGGCAGGCGUCUGUAUUCCCCGGUACUCAGGAAGCUGAAGCAAGAGAAUUGCUUGAACCCAGGAGGCAGAGGUUGCACUGAGCCAAGAUCACACCAUUGCACUCCAGCCUGGGCAACAGAGUGAGACUCAGUCUCAGUAACAAAAUCUAGGCUGGGCGUGGUAGCUCACGCCUGUAAUCCCAGCACUUUGGGNNNNNNNNNNNNNNNNNNNNCAACAUGGUGAAACCCCGUCUCUACUAAAAAUGCAAAAAAUUAGCUGGGUGUGGUGGCAUGCGCCUGUAGUCCCAGCUACUAGGGAGGCUGAGGCAGGAGCAUCACUUGAACCCGGGAGGUGGAGGUUGCAGUGAGCCGAGAUCACACCACUGUACUCCAGCCUGGCUACAGAGCGAGACUCCGUCUCAAAAAAGAAAAAAAAAAAAGAAAAUCUAUUGACAAGAUUGACAAGAGUUCAUUUUAAAGAUGAUUCUCCACACUUGGAGCAUGGGAUCUUGCCUGUCAGCAAUUUUGAUCAGUCUCCAGAUUAGUAACUGCGACUUGCCACCCUGGUUGAUGGGCUGGCAGGAAGGAGUGUGUCAUAUCAGAGAUUGCCACAGACACCCAGGGCAAUGUGAUUUGUCACUUAACGAGGGAGGCAGAUCAAGAGCAUCUCAUCCUCCGGCUGCUGAGUCAUCCUGCUCUGGCAGUUAUUUAAACAGAAGCCUCCAGGAGACAUACAAUCAACACUCCACUCAGACAAUGCCCAGACCUCCAGAAACCAUGUGUCAAGCUCGGAUUGCCUUAGACAGAAGCUCACCCAGCUGGAACUCUUAUGGGACCUUGGCACCAGAGACCACAAAUUCCUCUUUGAAGUUUUCUAACAGCAACAAUGGUAUUUCUGACUUGGCUUUCUUGUAUUUCUCUCACGUUAACAAAAUUGGUUCAGCAUCUACCAUGGGCUACAUGCUGAGCUACAGGUAA
RNAcentral lists this long non-coding RNA (966 nucleotides) under Pan paniscus (pygmy chimpanzee). RNAcentral's name for it is "lncRNA (ENSPPAG00000044291.1)". Lineage: Eukaryota; Metazoa; Chordata; Mammalia; Primates; Hominidae. The record is from RNAcentral.